This 447-nucleotide ribosomal RNA is filed under the name uncultured bacterium. RNAcentral's name for it is "partial 16S ribosomal RNA". It matches the Rfam family "Bacterial small subunit ribosomal RNA", at positions 29 to 523 of the family's 1533-position model. The record is from RNAcentral.
AGCGAACGCUGGCGGCAGGCUUAACACAUGCAAGUCGAACGGUCCUUCGGGAUAGUGGCGGACGGGUGAGUAACACGUGGGAACGUACCCUUAGGUUCGGAACAACACAGGGAAACUUGUGCUAAUACCGGAUAAGCCCUUCGGGGGACAGAUUUAUCGCCUUUGGAGCGGCCUGCGUCUGAUUAGCUUGUUGGUGAGGUAAUGGCCCACCAAGGCUACGAUCAGUAGCUGGUCUGAGAGGAUGGCCAGACACAAUGGGACUGAGACACGGCCCAGACUCCUACGGGAGGCAGCAGUGGGGAAUCUUGCGCAAUGGGCGAAAGCCUGACGCAGCCAUGCCGCGUGGAUGAUGAAGGUCUUAGGAUUGUAAAAUCCUUUCACCGGGGACGAUAAUGACGGUACCCGGAGAAGAAGCCCCGGCUAACUUCGUGCCAGCCGCCGCAGUAA